Molecule: unclassified non-coding RNA, 297 nt
Organism: Vombatus ursinus (common wombat)
Lineage: Eukaryota; Metazoa; Chordata; Mammalia; Diprotodontia; Vombatidae
Rfam family: Metazoan signal recognition particle RNA
About the family: The signal recognition particle (SRP) is a universally conserved ribonucleoprotein. It is involved in the co-translational targeting of proteins to membranes.
Source: Ensembl
GCCAGGUGUAGUUGCAUAGUCCUAUAAUUCCUACUAUCAGGGAGGCUCAGGAUGGUGGAUCUCUUAGGCUGGGGAGUUCCAUGCUUCAGUAGGCUAAAUUUAUCAGGUAUCCAUAUUAAGUUCAGCAUCAAUAUGGUGAGCCCCUGGAAAUGGGACACUGGGUUGUCUAAAGAGAGAUGAAAUGGUCCAGGCUGGAAAUGGGGCAGGUCAAAGCUCCCAUACCAUUAGUAGUGGGACAGGGCCUGUGAAUGGCUCUUGAACUUCCAGACUAGGUAAGAUAGAGAGACCCAGUCUCAA